Molecule: long non-coding RNA, 540 nt
Organism: Lytechinus variegatus (green sea urchin)
Lineage: Eukaryota; Metazoa; Echinodermata; Echinoidea; Temnopleuroida; Toxopneustidae
Exons: 2
Source: RefSeq, a predicted model, not a curated record
UGUGAAGUGUUUAAACUAUAGUACCUGGGUUUUAUAUAAAAAAAGAUAUGCUUAUUAACGCUCAUUGCUUCGUGGAAGACGAGGCGACACGUGCAUGGUACACGACACAAUGACAUUUAAAAAAAUGGAUACCAAAAUCCAGAAGCAGAGAUUGCUAGCGGGCCGUGUGAAAAAUAGGCCCAGACCUGUUCCAUCAUCUUUGCCUUUACAAAUCUGUAUCGUGUGCAAAUCUCUUCCAAUCUCAUAGCUUUCUUUGACUUGGCUCUUUGGCAAUAAUUAUGCAUUACUUAUGUAAGUUUUCCACACGGUACCUAGCUCAGAGGCAGUCAUCUUGAUCUACAAAAGGAAGACGUGAGCAAUUCAGUGAUCAUUCUUUUCCAGCCUACAUACCCUACCAGAGUUGGUUGAUUGUUUCACCUAUCACCAGUGUAUCACGUUGAAAAGUCUUUGAUCCAUUUUGUAUCACGUACAGUCCUGGCACAAAUGGUGUUUCUCGUGCGAAUCUUGCAGUAAGCACCUGGAUUCCACCACCGUGUCCGA